UUGAAAGCGGCGGACGGGUGAGUAACGCGUGGGUAACCUGCCCAUACAAGGGAUAGCCACUGGAAACGGUGAUUAUACCUUAUAAACUGAGUAUCACAUGAACAGCAGUCAAAGAUCCAGCGGUACGAGAUGGACCCGCGUCUGAUUAGCUAGUUGGUAGGUAACGGCCUACCAAGGCGACGAUCAGUAGCCGACCUGAGAGGGUGAUCGGCCACACUGGACUGAGACACGGUCAGACUCCUACGGAGCAGCAGUGGGAAUAUUGCACAAUGGGCGCAAGCCUGAUGCAGCAACGCCGCGUGAGCGAAGAAGGCUUUCGGAUCGUAAAGCUCUGUCCUAAGGGAAGAAAAAUGACGGUACCUUAGGAGGAAGCCCCGGCUAACUACGUGCCAGCAGCCGCGGUAAUACGUAGGGGGCAAGCGUUAUCCGGAAUCACUGGGCGUAAAGGGUGCGUAGGCGGUUAAUCAAGUCAGAAGUGAAAGGCAAUGGCUCAACCAAAGUAAGCUUUUGAAACUGAUUAACUUGAAUACAGGAGAGGUAAGUGGAAUUCCUAGUGUAGAGGUGAAAUGCGUAGAGAUUAGGAGGAACACCAGUGGCGAAGGCGACUUACUGGACUGUAACUGACACUGAGGCACGAAAGCGUGGGAGCGAACAGAUAGAUACCCUGGUAGUCACGCGUAAACGAUGAAUACUAGGUGUCGGGCGUCAAACCUCGGUGCCGCAGCUAACGCAUUAAGUAUUCCGCCUGGGGAGUACGCACGCAAGUGUGAAACUCAAAGGAAUUGACGGGGACCCGCACAGCAGCGAGCAUGUGGUUUAAUUCGAAGCAACGCGAAGAACCUUACCAAAUCUUGACAUCCCUCUGACCGACUCUUAAUCGAGUCUUCUCUUCGGAGCAGAGGUGACAGGUGGUGCAUGGUUGUCGUCAGCUCGUGUCGGAGAUGUUGGGUUAAGUCCCGCAACGAGCGCAACCCUUGUCUUUAGUUGA
Molecule: ribosomal RNA, 988 nt
Filed under: uncultured bacterium
Lineage: Bacteria
Description: bacterial SSU rRNA
Rfam family: Bacterial small subunit ribosomal RNA
Source: RNAcentral